UACAGAGGUCCCGAGCGUUGUUCGGAUUCACUGGGCGUAAAGGGUGCGUAGGCGGUUCUGUAAGUCUGAUGUGAAAUCUCCGGGCCCAACCCGGAAAUGGCAUUAGAAACUACAGGGCUAGAGGCUUGGAGGGGGAACUGGAAUGCUCGGUGUAGCAGUGAAAUGCGUAGAGAUCGAGCGGAACACCAGUGGCGAAGGCGAGUUCCUGGACAAGUCCUGACGCUGAGGCACGAAAGCCAGGGGAGCAAACAGG
This 253-nucleotide unclassified non-coding RNA is filed under the name uncultured Verrucomicrobiota bacterium. Its description in RNAcentral is "uncultured Verrucomicrobia bacterium contains 16S-23S intergenic spacer region". It matches the Rfam family "Bacterial small subunit ribosomal RNA", at positions 524 to 776 of the family's 1533-position model. The record is from RNAcentral. Lineage: Bacteria; Pseudomonadati; Verrucomicrobiota.